UGCGUACCUUUUGUAUAAUGGGUCAGCGACUUAUAUUCUGUAGCAAGGUUAACCGAAUAGGGGAGCCGGAGGGAAACCGAGUCUUAAUUGGGCGUUAAGUUGCAGGGUAUAGACCCGAAACCCGGUGAUCUAGCCAUGGGCAGGUUGAAGGUUGGGUAACACUAACUGGAGGACCGAACCGACUAAUGUUGAAAAAUUAGCGGAUGACCUGUGGCUGGGGGUGAAAGGCCAAUCAAACCGGGAGAUAGCUGGUUCUCCCCGAAAGCUAUUUAGGUAGCGCCUCGUGAAUUCAUCUCCGGGGGUAGAGCACUGUUUCGGCUAGGGGGCCAUCCCGGCUUACCAACCCGAUGCAAACUGCGAAUACCGGAGAAUGUUAUCACGGGAGACACACGGCGGGUGCUAACGUCCGUCGUGAAGAGGGAAACAACCCAGACCGCCAGCUAAGGUCCCAAAGUCAUGGUUAAGUGGGAAACGAUGUGGGAAGGCCCAGACAGCCAGGAUGUUGGCUUAGAAGCAGCCAUCAUUUAAAGAAAGCGUAAUAGCUCACUGGUCGAGUCGGCCUGCGCGGAAGAUGUAACGGGGCUAAACCAUGCACCGAAGCUGCGGCAGCGAACGUAUCACCCAAGACAACUUUACGGAGUUGACGAUUGACGGAGCGAAGCGACGUCAAAGCGUUCAUUAAAGUCGAGUUGGCUUAGGGAUACGUUCGUUGGGUAGGGGAGCGUUCUGUAAGCCUGUGAAGGUGUGUCGUGAGGCAUGCUGGAGGUAUCAGAAGUGCGAAUGCUGACAUAAGUAACGAUAAAGCGGGUGAAAAGCCCGCUCGCCGGAAGACCAAGGGUUCCUGUCCAACGUUAAUCGGGGCAGGGUGAGUCGACCCCUAAGGCGAGGCCGAAAGGCGUAGUCGAUGGGAAACGGGUUAAUAUUCCCGUACUUGGUGUUACUGCGAAGGGGGGACGGAGAAGGCUAUGUUGGCCGGGCGACGGUUGUCCCGGUUUAAGCGUGUAGGUGUGUGUUCCAGGUAAAUCCGGUUCACUUUAACACUGAGGC
This 1047-nucleotide ribosomal RNA is filed under the name Salmonella enterica subsp. enterica serovar Typhimurium. RNAcentral's name for it is "partial 23S ribosomal RNA". It matches the Rfam family "Bacterial large subunit ribosomal RNA", at positions 598 to 1562 of the family's 2925-position model. Lineage: Bacteria; Pseudomonadati; Pseudomonadota; Gammaproteobacteria; Enterobacterales; Enterobacteriaceae. The record is from RNAcentral.